UACAGAGGGGGCAAGCGUUGUUCGGAAUUACUGGGCGUAAAGGGCGCGUAGGCGGCCGCCUAAGUCAGACGUGAAAUCCCUCGGCUCAACCGGGGAACUGCGUCUGAUACUGGGUGGCUUGAAUUCGGGAGAGGGAUGCGGAAUUCCAGGUGUAGCGGUGAAAUGCGUAGAUAUCUGGAGGAACACCAAUGGCGAAGGCAGCUCGCUGGGACGUGACUGACGCUGAGACGCGAAAGCGUGGGGAGCAAACGGG
RNAcentral lists this ribosomal RNA (253 nucleotides) under uncultured bacterium. RNAcentral describes it as "partial 16S ribosomal RNA". It matches the Rfam family "Bacterial small subunit ribosomal RNA", at positions 524 to 776 of the family's 1533-position model. The record is from RNAcentral.